GACGUAGGGCGCAAGCGUUGUCCGGAUUUAUUGGGCGUAAAGAGCUCGUAGGCGGUCUGUCGCGUCUGCUGUGAAAACUCGGGGCUUAACCCCGGGCCUGCAGUGGGUACGGGCAGACUAGAGUGCGGUAGGGGAGACUGGAAUUCCUGGUGUAGCGGUGAAAUGCGCAGAUAUCAGGAGGAACACCGGUGGCGAAGGCGGGUCUCUGGGCCGUAACUGACGCUGAGGAGCGAAAGCGUGGGGAGCGAACAGG
RNAcentral lists this ribosomal RNA (253 nucleotides) under uncultured bacterium. Its description in RNAcentral is "partial 16S ribosomal RNA". It matches the Rfam family "Bacterial small subunit ribosomal RNA", at positions 524 to 776 of the family's 1533-position model. The record is from RNAcentral.